AACGAACGCUGGCGGCAGGCUUAACACAUGCAAGUCGAGCGAGACCUUCGGGUCUAGCGGCGGACGGGUUAGUAACGCGUGGGAACGUGCCUUUCUCUACGGAAUAGCCUCGGGAAACUGAGAGUAAUACCGUAUACGCCCUUCGGGGGAAAGAUUUAUCGGAGAGAGAUCGGCCCGCGUUAGAUUAGAUAGUUGGUGGGGUAAUGGCCUACCAAGUCUACGAUCUAUAGCUGGUUUGAGAGGAUGAUCAGCAACACUGGGACUGAGACACGGCCCAGACUCCUACGGGAGGCAGCAGUGGGGAAUCUUGGACAAUGGCGCAAGCCUGAUCCAGCCAUGCCGCGUGAGUGACGAAGGCCUUAGGGUCGUAAAGCUCUUUCAGCUGUGAAGAUAAUGACGGUAGCAGCAGAAGAAACCCCGGCUAACUCCGUGCCAGCG
RNAcentral lists this ribosomal RNA (438 nucleotides) under uncultured bacterium. Its description in RNAcentral is "bacterial SSU rRNA". It matches the Rfam family "Bacterial small subunit ribosomal RNA", at positions 29 to 513 of the family's 1533-position model. The record is from RNAcentral.